GAAGCUAAUCAAAGAUUAAAAGGGAUUGCUACCUUAGCUCUCAUCUUCGGUCACGCUCGCUUUUCUGGUCUUUCGCUGAUCGCCGACUGCCCCAGAAGAAAGAGCUCACUGAUUGCUGGGAGAUAUAAUGCAAACAGAGCUUGGUAUAUAUACCCGUAGGGUUCUCGCAUCAGCAGAACCCUAAUGCACUUCACGGAAAAAGGACAACUUGGUAAUUUUGAGACUAUUCUUUUUAUCCUUUUGCAAAU
Molecule: long non-coding RNA, 248 nt
Filed under: Carica papaya (papaya)
Lineage: Eukaryota; Viridiplantae; Streptophyta; Magnoliopsida; Brassicales; Caricaceae
Description: long non-coding RNA (CPAP_LNC014757)
Source: RNAcentral